AUUGAACGCUGGCGGAAUGCUUUACACAUGCAAGUCGAACGGCAGCACGGGGGCAACCCUGGUGGCGAGUGGCGAACGGGUGAGUAAUACAUCGGAACGUGCCCGGUCGUGGGGGAUAACGUAGCGAAAGUUACGCUAAUACCGCAUACGAUCUGAGGAUGAAAGCGGGGGACCUUCGGGCCUCGCGCGAUCGGCGCGGCCGAUGUCAGAUUAGGGAGUUGGUGGGGUAAAGGCGUACCAAGCCGACGAUCUGUAGCUGGUCUGAGAGGACGACCAGCCACCCUGGGACUGAGAUACGGACUAGACUCCUACGUGAGGCAGCAGUGGGGAAUAUUGCACAGUGGGCGCAAGCCUGAUGCAGCAACGCCGCGUGCGGGAUGACGGCCUUCGGGUUGUAAACCGCUUUCGCCUGUGACGAAGCGUGAGUGACGGUAAUGGGUAAAGAAGCACCGGCUAACUACGUG
Molecule: ribosomal RNA, 464 nt
Filed under: uncultured bacterium
Lineage: Bacteria
Description: partial 16S ribosomal RNA
Rfam family: Bacterial small subunit ribosomal RNA
Source: RNAcentral